Picea glauca (white spruce) is the source of this 124-nucleotide non-coding RNA. NCBI's taxonomy places the organism in Eukaryota, Viridiplantae, Streptophyta, Pinopsida, Pinales, Pinaceae. The record is from Rfam.
UCUUAUGUACAUGCCUACAACGGAAAUGCACUAGAUCCCAUCAAAGAUCUGUUUUUAAUCAUGCUUGGGCUAGAUUGGUACUGGGAUGGGUGACCUCCUGGGAAGUCCUAGUGUUUUACAUGCC